AGGAGACAUGUUUAUCUUGUCACAAAGAACAAGGUUUAUUACACCGCUAUUAUCGCGAGGUUUGGGGCGUGACAAUAUAGACUGUGAGCCCACGUUUAAUAAUCACGCUAAGGAGUUCAGCGAGCUAUCUGCAAAGGCCUGAUUAGUCUACCAGCUGUACAAGAAUGCGCAAGACUGUAAAGGUAUUCUUCUAGAACCUCCGAAGUGGCAGGCGGCCACGAGUUUUCACGGCGUUCAAUAAAUGCAGCGAAGCGCCCGUCUUGAAGAAGCCGUGCCUGUGUUGUCAUUUCGGAGUUACAAUUUUUAUGAUGUUGUUGCAAAGUAUGCGUCUGUAGAGCUAAAUCAUGAUGAUUGUUCCAAACUAAGAAAAUGAAACGAUGGACAGAAAAUUCAGCAGCAGCUACUAAAUCACCAAAGUGUUUCCAGUUGCCCUCCUGUGAUGGCUGCAGUUACAGCCACACAGUUGUAAAAUCAGUGAAGAGUUGGUUAUGUUAGUUUCAGUCAGUUUUUUGUGUGUUUUACCCUUUUUGUGUUUUUGUGGGCUGAUCAGCCACUAUUUAUAUUCCCCUUUGUGUCUUAGUUAG
Long non-coding RNA from Oreochromis aureus, 584 nucleotides. NCBI's taxonomy places the organism in Eukaryota, Metazoa, Chordata, Actinopteri, Cichliformes, Cichlidae. The record is from Ensembl.